Molecule: ribosomal RNA, 202 nt
Filed under: uncultured bacterium
Lineage: Bacteria
Description: partial 16S ribosomal RNA
Rfam family: Bacterial small subunit ribosomal RNA
Source: RNAcentral
ACGCUCGACACCUACGGGAGGCAGCAGUGGGGAAUAUUGGGCAAUGGGCGGCAAGCCUGACCCAGCAACGCCGCGUGAAGGAAGAAGGCCCUCGGGUUGUAAACUUCUUUUAACAGGGACGAAGGAAGUGACGGUACCUGUUGAAUAAGCCACGGCUAACUACGUGCUAGCAGCCGCGGUAAUCUGAGCGGGCUGGCAAGGC